AUGUUUCGUGCUGUUAAUGGGUUGUCUCUUAUUCUGCUGUUUUUAUGAGGUUUUGGAGGAGAAAAGGGCAUGGAGAAAUGCCACAUAAUGAUCGAGUGGUGGAUGUUGUAACUUAUUGGACGGCUGCUAAUCAAGGUAUGUAAUGGUUAUCCCUUUGAUCCUUUUACGGGAUGAAUCUGCCUUAAUGAAAAAAUUUUUAAAGAAAAGCUUAAUGAAACGUC
RNAcentral lists this long non-coding RNA (221 nucleotides) under Nicotiana benthamiana. RNAcentral describes it as "long non-coding RNA (NBEN_LNC027100)". The record is from RNAcentral. Lineage: Eukaryota; Viridiplantae; Streptophyta; Magnoliopsida; Solanales; Solanaceae.